GAUGAACGCUGGCGGCGUGCCUAAUACAUGCAAGUCGAGCGAACAGAUAAGGAGCUUGCUCCUCUGACGUUAGCGGCGGACGGGUGAGUAACACGUGGGUAACCUACCUAUAAGACUGGGAUAACUUCGGGAAACCGGAGCUAAUACCGGAUAACAUUUGGAACCGCAUGGUUCUAAAGUGAAAGAUGGUUUUGCUAUCACUUAUAGAUGGACCCGCGCCGUAUUAGCUAGUUGGUAAGGUAACGGCUUACCAAGGCAACGAUACGUAGCCGACCUGAGAGGGUGAUCGGCCACACUGGAACUGAGACACGGUCCAGACUCCUACGGGAGGCAGCAGUAGGGAAUCUUCCGCAAUGGGCGAAAGCCUGACGGAGCAACGCCGCGUGAGUGAUGAAGGGUUUCGGCUCGUAAAACUCUGUUAUUAGGGAAGAACAAACGUGUAAGUAACUAUGCACGUCUUGACGGUACCUAAUCAGAAAGCCACGGCUAACUACGUG
This 497-nucleotide ribosomal RNA is filed under the name uncultured bacterium. Its description in RNAcentral is "partial 16S ribosomal RNA". It matches the Rfam family "Bacterial small subunit ribosomal RNA", at positions 28 to 507 of the family's 1533-position model. The record is from RNAcentral.